Molecule: long non-coding RNA, 3165 nt
Filed under: Capra hircus (goat)
Lineage: Eukaryota; Metazoa; Chordata; Mammalia; Artiodactyla; Bovidae
Description: lncRNA (ENSCHIG00010030136.1)
Source: RNAcentral
GCAAGAAUACUGCAGUUCCUGACCCAGGGAUCGUGGUAAGCCCACCCCCCACCAAAUGUUUGUCCAAUAAAUCACUGUCUUCCCCGUGUGUGAUCUCAGGAUGGGGGUCAGUGUGCCCCCUCCUCCUCCACGGGGCCCUCCCUCCUGCCAGGGUUACAGUCUCCUCUCUGCUCAUCCUGUCAUCCCAUUAUCCCAGAUUGCACCCUGGUUUUGGGGUGUCUUUUAGCUCAGCUGGACUCAAAGGAGAAGGAUGGGAAAUGCGGUAAGGGUGCAAGAACUCUGAGAGGGGCUGGGGGUUAAGUAGAAACGGUCGGAGGAGACGAAGCAGAAUGGUGCAGAGCCCAGGCAGAGACGCAGCCACGUCCUAGCAGUUCUGACAUGACGACAACACCGCAUUGUCGCAGCUCUCACAUUACGGGCAAUUUGAGUCUGUCACCUGUCCUGAAAUUACGGUAAUUUGGAUUCAUUUGUAACCUUCAAGUUAUGGUAACAUGGGGUUGAUUUCCAGCCCUAAGAUUACGGUAAUUUUUUCUGUUUGCUUCCUGGGGUGUCUGCUUACAGCCAGACUGACUCUGUGCAAUGGUGAGAGGGUGGUGGGCUUUAGAAAAGUCCGUGUCAGGGAGGGGAGAGGUUGAAGGCCUCCCUCCAGCCAGGCCACCAGGUUACCUUUGGCGCGACAGGGGAUGUCCACCACCUUUUCCAUCUCCGCUGUGAUGUGUCUCUCUGGCUCCUUGACAAACUGAGGUGGCUCUGCAGGAGGAGGGACCGGGGGAGGGGAUCAGAGCCAUGCUCCUGCUGAUAUGGCUGCUGAUCGGGUCACUCGUGCUGCCCCUUCACGUCGGGAGGACUCCAGCACUCCCACCCCGUCUCACCCAGCACGGACAGGUAGGCGCCACGGAUGACGGAGGGGACGCUGCUGCUCCGCAGGACGGCCUCACACUCGUAGUAGCCGGCAUCGCUGGCCGUGGGGUUGGGGAUGGUGAGCCGGCGGUUGUAGUCGCUGAUGCCGCUAGACAGCAGCGCCCCAUCCUUCUUCCAAAUGAUGUGCAGCUUGAUCAGAGGCCUGGACGGGCCGAGGGACGAGGCGGUCAGCUACAGAGCCUCCCAGGGGCUCGGGAGGCAGGGCAGGGCAUAGUGAGGCAUGCAGGCGCCAGGGGCCGGGCGCCUGAGUUUGCCCUGCCCCUGACACUUCCUAGGUGCAGGCCGUUGUGUGGGCUAGUCCUUCAGGGCUCUGGGCCUCAGUUUCCACGUCUGUACAAUGGGGACAACUAUGCCCUGCUCCCCGGGGGUUGUGGUGAGGGGAGACCUGGCCCCAUGAUAACUCGUGCUCGAGGGCUCUCGAGAGCCAGAAAUUGGCCCUUCCACGUGUCUCUGCCUCCGCUCUGCCCCGUCCAGUGUAAGUCAGUGGAUGGGAAAGUGUGGAAGUCCGGAAAUGCACAUCCGGGGUCUCAGUUGCAGCAUGCAGGAAUCUUUAAUUGCAGCAUGUGGGAUCUAGUUCCCUGACCAGGGAUCGAGCCCAGGCCCGCUGCUUUGGGAGCGUGGAGUCUUAGCCACUGGACCAGCAGCAAAGUCCAGCUUUCCUCUUGCCCCCGCCUUCAUACAAGGAGGCCGCGGCAGCAGAGGCGAGCAGCCGCUCCCCAGGCUGCUCUGGAUGUUGGACGUGAGUGGACCCCCCACCAACCCCAGGUGUCCUGGGCCGGGAUCCUCUCCUCUCGGGUGGGCCCUGCUUGCGUCCGGCAGCUCUCUGACCACCAGCCCAUCACCCCUCCUCCAGGCUAAAUACCCCAUCUUCUUUCAUGGGUCCUCACAGGACAUUUCUGGACCUUUGUGAAUUCCACCUGGUCUCCUUGGAGCCCUCAUCAGGAGCGCCCGCUGGGGUUAAGGGGGAGGGGCGGAGGCAGGACCCACCUGGCAUUGGCCACACACUCCAUAGUCACCUCCGAGGUCCCGGCCACCACGCUGGUGUUCUUGGGAGGAAUGAUGAUGGCUGGAGCGAUGGGGUCUGCAGGGCCGCUGACAUCUGGGGAGAGGAACAGACGCUGGGAAUCCCAUCUGAGCCCCACCCGCGCCAGAGGGACGCUGUGGGAGACCUCUNNNNNNNGGGGGGGGGGUGGGCAGACGCCUCGCAGCCCCAGAGCUGAGCCUCCAGGUGCUGACCCCAGGGACCCUCCCCCCUUCCAUCCUCCUCUGCUGGUGGGUCUCUGCACAGCAUCCAGGCAGAGCCCACGGGAGACCUCAGGAUGCAACCCACGUCCCCCCAUAAUGCAGCCAUGCUCUCCUCCUCAUCCCCUGUCCUGGCUUAUUUUGGCCUUCAGAAUCCUUCCUUCCAGCUGCAUAAAUGCCGUGACAAGGACAAUACGUUGUCAGUAAGCCGACCACAUCUCGUCAGCUUGCUUCUUCACCAGAAGAAGCUUGCCAUCUCUUCCACCAGAAUGCAAACUCCCCAUACUGGGCUGAAUACUGUCCCUCAAGUUCAUGUUCAUGACAGCUGUGAAUAUCCCCUUAUUUGCAGAGAGGGGCUUUGCAAGUGCGGUCAAGUUAAGAGGAGGUCCUGCUGCGUCAGGGUGAGCCCAAAGUCCAGCACGAUAAAACAGAUGACUACUGAGAACGUGCUGUACAAACAGGGGCCUCUAUCGGAGGCCUGUGGCCACCUGAACGGGAAGGAAAUCCAAAGAAGGGGGAGAUGUAUACACAGGGCUGAUCCACCUUGUUGCACAGCAGAGACUAACAUAAGACUGGAAAGCAAUGAUAAACUCCAAGAAAAAUUAACUAAAAAUGACACGAAAUAAAAGUGUCAGUCGCUCAGUCAUGCCCGACUCUUUGUGACCCCAUGGACUGUAGCUCACCAGGCUCCUCUGUCCANNNNNNNNNNNNNNNNNNNNNNNNNNNNNNNNNNNNNNNNNNNNNNNNNNNNNNNNNNNNNNNNNNNNNNNNNNNNNNNNNNNNNNNNNNNNNNNNNNNCAGGCUCCUCUGUCCAUGGGGUUCUCCAGGCAAGAAGACUGGAGUGGGUUACCAUUUUCUCCUCCAGGGGAAUCUUCCUGAUCCAAGGAACAAACCCGCAUCUCCUGUGUCUCCUGUAUUGACAGAUGGAUUCUUUACCUACUGGGCCAUUAGGGACACCCAGUAAAGGCAGGAGACUUUGCUGCUUUAUUCUUUGAGUCUUUU